Molecule: long non-coding RNA, 341 nt
Organism: Synchiropus splendidus (mandarinfish)
Lineage: Eukaryota; Metazoa; Chordata; Actinopteri; Syngnathiformes; Callionymidae
Exons: 4
Source: RefSeq, a predicted model, not a curated record
AGAGCUGUGGUGUUUCUAGCUCGGGCAGGCAAGAAACCUGGCACUUGGUCCAGUCAGGUGGUCCACUCCAAGUGGCAUCUGACUGACCAUGCCAGCAAGUGCCUGGACCGGAUGAAGGACCUAUAUAUGGCGGUUGUUAGAGGUUGGACAGAUAUGCAGCCAUCAACCUCCUCCACCAUCCAUCCGUCCACAACCUCUGCCAGCCAGCCGUCAACCUCCUCCAAAAGAGCCUCCACAGGCCCUCUGAGCUUACCUCCAAGAAAAAGCACCAGAAGGAAGACAGAAGAUGGAUCGAAAGUGGAAAGAUAUUCCAACUUGAGUGGGUACGGAUGGAAGAAACC